Molecule: long non-coding RNA, 1486 nt
Organism: Hylaeus anthracinus
Lineage: Eukaryota; Metazoa; Arthropoda; Insecta; Hymenoptera; Colletidae
Exons: 5
Source: RefSeq, a predicted model, not a curated record
GAAUGGCAAAUGAACAUGUUUGCGGUGAUUAAGUAAAGUGUUUAUUGCCCAAUUACGAAUAACGAGGCUCGCCAUUACAGAUUGCACGACAACCGCUAAUUACAUGUAGUAUUAAAUUUCUGAUUCCAGAAGAAUUCGAAUAAAAAUAGCUGUAAGGUAAACAAAAUAUUGACUUCUCUGUAAGUUUCAUACGCCUUCAUUCUUUAAUUCAGGAGCAUUGAAAUAAAAUUCCCUAUAAAGUAAGCGAAAUAUUUCCCAUUCUAUAGAUCUCAAAUGCAUCCUCUUCGAGGAGAACUGAAAACUGCGUCUCGUAAUCCUAUCUGCAUUCAGACUCUAACAUACGACAGUUCUUUGUCUGCGGAUAAACACAAAAUACAAGUAAUACGGACGAUAAGGACCUCUUUAUUCGAAGGAGCGACGUUGCUCUCAGGAAUCUCUUCGGUAAUGGACUAUUACGCCGCACACGGAUCUCCUGGACGACCCUGAGAUGCGGACAUAUUAGGGCAUAGCUCGUGGUGCGAGUUGCAACGAUGAUAAAAAUAUUCUAUGAGAACACUUUCGGAGCCGGAUUCCAAGCAGAGGAUUUCUUGAAGACAGGCGUGACCAGUUCGGACGUUUCUUUGGUCCUUUAGUCAUCCGGGAUUCCGCUACGAUAGAAAAAAAAGAUCGUCGCAUCAAGGCGUGCCCACUGGUAUAUAUAAACAGUGUUAUGCGCAGAAAUUCGUGCACGUUCCAUCGAGUCAUCAUGAAGUGUCUAUACAUUCUGCUUUCAACUUGUUGCUUGAUUAGCUCUGGCUUGGCGAAGCCAGCCGCUCCAGUCCUGAACUAUCAGGACAGUUUUGGCCAAUACAGUUUCGGCUAUAGUACUCCAAAUUCCGCGAGAUCAGAGUUUAGAACUCUGAAUGGCGAAACGCACGGUGCUUACAGUUACAUUGAUGACACAGGCGCCAUCCAAAGGGCUCAGUACAUUGCCGACGACAAACAUGGCUUUCAAAUUAGGACCACCAAUGGUGCAGGGUUUCCAGUAUCGGUGCAAAACACACAAGAAGUGAUUGCAGUGAAAAAGCUUCAUCCUGGAGCAGAUGAAACGGAAUUGAAAACACAACGGAGAAUAGGAGCAAAUAAUAUAUUUUUGAAAGGAUUGAUAUCAAAUUUGCAGGGAGUCGUAGAAGGAGAAGACAAAACACAGACACAAAUAAACAGAGAUAAAACUGAGGAAAAUUCGAAAGCUUUCGUAAAGGAGUUACAGACAAAAUCGAUACAGGACGAUUCCAUCGUAAUUGAAGGCAGUCCAGCGCAGGAAUCGGUUUCAAAAUGUGACGAAGAGGGAAUAAAACACCAAGAAAUACUUGCUCCCAUCAACGCUUUUGGAUUGAACCCUAUUUAUCCCACUAUUAUUAGAUAUAUUCCUGUUUCUUCUUCACGAUAUAUUCUCGUCAAUACCCAGUAUCCAUAAAUCUCAUUUUUCUACUAUACUUUAAAUGAA